This 253-nucleotide ribosomal RNA is filed under the name uncultured bacterium. RNAcentral's name for it is "partial 16S ribosomal RNA". It matches the Rfam family "Bacterial small subunit ribosomal RNA", at positions 524 to 776 of the family's 1533-position model. The record is from RNAcentral.
UACGAGUGCUCCAAGCGUUAUCCGGAAUUAUUGGGCGUAAAGGGUGUGUAGGUUGUCAUAUUAGUCUUUUGUUAAAUUCUUCGGCUUAACCGGGGGCAUGCAAAGGAAACGGUAUGACUAGAGGAUGCGAGAGGUGAAUGGAACUCAUGGAAUAGGGGUGAAAUCCGUUGAUAUCAUGGGGAACACCAAAAGCGAAGGCAAUUCACUGGCGCACUCCUGACGCUGAAACACGAAAGCGUAGGUAGCGAAUGGG